Long non-coding RNA from Microcebus murinus (gray mouse lemur), 332 nucleotides. RefSeq lists it as uncharacterized. The record is from RefSeq and is a predicted model, not a curated record. NCBI's taxonomy places the organism in Eukaryota, Metazoa, Chordata, Mammalia, Primates, Cheirogaleidae.
UUGCUGACAAGUCAUUUAAGCACCUGGAUCCAUUUGUUCCAGAAGGUGAAACUUUUCAAUUACAUGGGCCAACAAAUCCUCUCUCUUCUGUCCUCCAAUGGAUGGCAACAUGCUCGGAGUUCCCUCAACUUGGCAUCACCAAGUACAGCCCUUAAAAUUCCCUCAACUGGAGAAGCUGACUCUUCAGAAAUGCUCUUUUUGGGAGGUGUCUCUUGAGUAGCCACAGAGCUUUUCUCCAAGUCUGAAAUAAAUGGAAAAUAUCAAUAUUAUCUAUCUCAAGACAAAGAAAACGGAUUAUUUGGCAGUGGCGGGAUAAACUUAAAAAGAAAUGA